UUUAGUGCAUACAAUGGAGAA
Caenorhabditis elegans is the source of this 21-nucleotide non-coding RNA. The record is from Ensembl. NCBI's taxonomy places the organism in Eukaryota, Metazoa, Nematoda, Chromadorea, Rhabditida, Rhabditidae.